This is a long non-coding RNA of Betta splendens (Siamese fighting fish), 863 nucleotides long. RefSeq lists it as uncharacterized. The transcript is spliced from 2 exons. NCBI's taxonomy places the organism in Eukaryota, Metazoa, Chordata, Actinopteri, Anabantiformes, Osphronemidae. The record is from RefSeq and is a predicted model, not a curated record.
ACAUUAAUCUCACUACUGCUCCUAAUCUUAUAAAUCUUGUGCACACAACUUUCUGUUAGGAUCCCUGGACUGUUUUUCCCUCCUUCUGCACACUGUCUGAUCACGCCCCCUUGCUUCCAGUCACGCCCACUUCCUGGUUUUGCCCUCUGUUUACCGGUACUGGUUUAAUUACCCAAACCACACUCACCUGUGUCUAACCCUUGUGUACAUAAAAACACUCAACCUCUCCCUGACUUGGUCUUGGCCUCAUGACGUUGCUUAUGACGGCAGAUGGUAUAAAAUGAGGAAGUAGGCAAGAGCUUCCUCCUUUUGUCUCCUACAACUUUCCUUUUUUUACCAGGAGCCUGACUGACUAACGUUAACUUGGCAAAUGUAAAAUGCAACCUACUGUAAAUAAUUGUCUGACAUGUUAGUCUACGCAUUAAUCAUGUGUAGACUACCACGCUGAACACGUGAGUACAGGUUUCAAAACUGGUGUGUGCGCCCCCCCCCCUCCCCUCGAUGUCUGGACACAACAGGUCACUGCUCAAAAAGGAAGUCGUCUUUUAGUACAAGCAUUGCUUCUCUGUCAUCUGACACUACACUUUAGCGCUGACACUGAUUUACCAGUUAACUUUAGUUUAUAGAUUUUUUUUGAGCCACUCCAUUUUCUCUAUACAGUGUCGUGUUCUGAUGGAGCAGAAAUUCAUCCAAAAAGCUGGAACAGGACAUGGUGGUGAUGAAUAAUUUAACACUUUUCCAUGUCAAACAACAGAAUUAAAUGAAGGGAAAUAUUUUUGGAGAGGAUCAACUCAACCACUGAGAUGUGACUGUAUGGAAAAAAAAUGUUACACGCAGCUCAUUGAUUUUUUUUUUUUUUUUUU